AACUUUUAACAGAUCGAGACAGUAAAAAACAAAUUUCUCUCCGAUGGCGAUGCAUUAUUCAUCCUCUCGACCUCAGCCAGUCGACUCGUUCCUCUCCGAUAUUCCAUGUUAUACGAUAUCUAUGGAAAAGAAAAAAAAACACGGCAACAUCGGCAAAUAUGGAUAAAUUCCUUAAUUACCUACGGAAUAUCAAACGUGUGAAGGUUUCUACAAACGACAUGGGGGAACUUGGAAGCGACAUAUAUAUUCUCAAAGAACAGAUGGGUUACCAAACUCAACAGUGAGUAUUUAUACAAACCAUAGCUGGAAAGUAUUCACUUAUGAAACCAUACUUCAACGUGACUUCCGAAACCAGACAACAGUAGGAAAACAAAAAGAUAAUUUGAUGGAGCUGCAGAAGUAUUUAUACUGUUUUCAACGUCAAUAAAAACAGAUAAGUCAUUUUCUUUAAAGUUUUGUCAUUUAGUAGUUGGGUCAAGUUGCCAACUUUUGAUGAAAAUAUAUCUAUGUUGUUAUGCAUAUGGUUCUUAGUUUUGUUUGUAGGAUCUUAAAAUAUAGAAAGUUAAACUUACAUUUGCAUCAGAUAGUAUUAGUUCCAAAGAUUCUACCACAUCUUUAAUGAAA
This is a long non-coding RNA of Raphanus sativus (radish), 624 nucleotides long. RefSeq lists it as uncharacterized. The transcript is spliced from 6 exons. NCBI's taxonomy places the organism in Eukaryota, Viridiplantae, Streptophyta, Magnoliopsida, Brassicales, Brassicaceae. The record is from RefSeq and is a predicted model, not a curated record.